AAUGUAUGGUUACUAGUUUCUACAACAACAAGUCGUACAAUUUGCGUUGUAAUAAACGUUGACAGCUUGUUGCUCUUGUUGGUAUGAAAAGUGGCGUUUAUGGCAACACACAGUCGUCGCGUUAACGCUCAACCCACUGUUUGACAUAUUAAAGUCAAUUUAAGCUGAACAGGAGACCGAAAUGCAUGGCAGGUCUUGCAAUAACUGAUUAGCUAUGUAUGUACAUAUGUGGAAUCAUAAAAAUCACCUGAGAAGGCCCCUGUUGAUUUCCAACGUGAUUUCACGCUUACAGUUCAAUCUAUCACACGCCGGCAUUACGCUGCUGCUGUCAACAAUCAUAACAAACCCGCACAAGCAAUCAGACCAUUGAUUUACACUAAUUGACCGGCAAUAAAAUCCAAAUGAGCUGUAAAAAUUAUCCAAAUAAUUGUUGUAUUGGAUGUAAACGAACGUGUGGAGUUAUAAAAAUUCCAGAAAUAAGCUGCAUGUGCCACACACGAAAAAGGCAAGGGCGAGCCGAAAACAACAACAAAAGCAAAACAUAAAAAUUAAUAUAAAGUGAAAUAAAUAACAAGAACGAAGCAAGUCGAAAUCGGACAUUUCAAUGGAAAACGAGAUGACUUCAAAGAGGACAGCGGGGUGUUAAAGAAACGAAAUCGAAAAAAUAGAAAGCAACCUGUGGUCACACUGAUAAAUGACGGACCGCGCACCGUAUGCUUUACGACACAUUUGUGCAUAACAGCAACAUAUAUGUAAAUAAAAGGCGGAGAUAGGCUUGUUGGGAAAGUGACGCAUAGCGCAGAGCUGCGUUCGAAGGUGUCAAGGCAACGGAACGGUGGAAUGCUUGAAAUUAAAUCAUUUGUCUUCUUAUUCAUACACAUUUUGAACGAAAAGUAUACUUUUAUCUUUGGCUGUUGGAUGUUGGCUGACUGGCAGAGGGACCCUGAGGUUAAAUUUCAACAGCUAAUCUUAAAAUGGUGUGAAAAUCAUUUAAGAUUACGCCUGGUCUGUCGUUGGUUGGCGCGCAUUGUGGUUGUGGCUGUGGCCGAAGUGAAUUUGUGUUAAAAUUUUUCGUUUCUUUUAUUGUUUUUGUAUUUAUCACAUAACGAAAGAAUGUGAGGUGAGAAAUCUGUGAUGAUUAAUAGUGGCGAAAAGGGAAAAGGGUGUUGGAAUGCUGUGUUGGAAACGAAACAAUAGAAGUGUAGACAAAGCGUGACAAAAGACCAGCCAAAACUCGGCUUUGAAAGAAACAUAAGCGAAAUCGUUGUUGACGCCACUAAAAUUCAAAACAAAUGGCUAUUUAAUAGCGGCUUAAAGCGCGGCUUCCACUGAUCUCCUCAGCGCUGAAAGGAACAGAAAAACAAACGUACAUAUUAUACAUGCUCAUAACAAUAAAGACGAGGUGGGACGGGUCGACGGAAUACCGCAGUGGCACAUAAAUUAACUGCGAAAGUACAUGAGUGGGACAAAAGACGGAGAAAACGACCAGCGAUUUGCAUAAGCAGCGACAAAUGCAAAUACCAUUUUUAUACCACAACAAAAGCAACAAAGAAAUGACAAAACGCUAAAACUUAUUCAAAAAUAAAUCCUCAAGGUGGUGUUGGUGAAGAAAACUCUUAAAGAUGUUAGAAUUAAUUCGACGCAAUAGUAUCGAGGCCGCGACACACGUACACACCAUAGGCAUACACGUACAUACAUGUACAUGUAUAUACAUGUGUGUGGGACA
This is a long non-coding RNA of Bactrocera oleae (olive fruit fly), 1726 nucleotides long. RefSeq lists it as uncharacterized. The record is from RefSeq and is a predicted model, not a curated record. Lineage: Eukaryota; Metazoa; Arthropoda; Insecta; Diptera; Tephritidae.